Molecule: non-coding RNA, 3489 nt
Organism: Agelaius phoeniceus (red-winged blackbird)
Lineage: Eukaryota; Metazoa; Chordata; Aves; Passeriformes; Icteridae
Source: RefSeq, a predicted model, not a curated record
AAAAAAAAAAAAAAAAAACAGCAACAACUUCCCAAACAAAAUGAAAAAAGAACCCAAUAAAACUUGACUUCUGCUUUCAAUGAUCUUUUAUAGAAGGCACAGCCCUAAACUUGUAUCACUUUUACCACCUUGCCUUUUCUUUCCCUUUAGUCUUCAUUCUUUUCUAUGACUUGAAUUUUAUUUUCUGUGAUUAUAUAUUCUAUGUAAGUGUAAUUUGAGUAUUUAUAACUGUGAAGUUGAAUUAUUCUUGUGUUACAUAUCUUAGGUUUUAUUGUAUUUUUUUAAAAGUGUGUAUUCAGGGAAACAAGUAACUCAGAACUAUCAUGGGAGUGUGAGAGGGAAACUGGUUUGUUCUUGACUUGCAGUUCCUAUGACUCACUUUUCUUAAUCCGUAAGAAAGAAAUGUACCUGUUGUGAUUGUUUCCUGUUUCUGACCUGUAAUUAUAUAGGACUCUGUGGGGAAUUUGCAUACAGUUCUAGCUUUUGGGAGCAGCCAUCUUCUUCCCAGUCACCUCCACUUCUUUAUAUGUGUUGUAAUUAGAAGAGAUUUCUGAUAUAACACAGAGGUUAUUAUAAUUAAUUCUCUGACAUCAGAGAAACAUUGUCCAUUAUGUACCUAAUGCAAGAGUGAAAUCACAUGGCAUAAGAAAAAAGGAAGAAACGGCUACCUAAGAAACACUGGUAUUCCUGCUCAAGUCACUGUAUGCCAUCUGGCCAUGAAAGGGUACUCGGCUAACAUCUUUUGUGAAGCCAUUCACAUAGUGCUCUAUUCCAGAUCUGCUCAACAGAAGCCACCUAGUUGAAAUUUCACUCUUCCAUAAGGCUUUGGAAAAUUAACUCUAAAGAUUUUCCUGAACUCAUUAAGAUUCAUACAAUUGUAUGUUCGUUUGUACAGAGUUUAUCUUUGGUUUCUACUGUGCAAGUGACACAAAUGUUUUUCUUCUUUUGUGUCACUGUGCAAGUGACACAAAAAUGUUUUUUUUUCUAACGCAGAAUCACACAGAAUUAACUAGGUUGAAAAUGACCUUUGAGGUCAUAGAGUCCAACCUAUAACUGAACACCACUUUGUCAACUAUUAGACCAUGGUACGUACGAAGUGCCACAUCCAGUCUUUUAAAUACCUCCAGGGAUGGUGACUCCACCACCUCCCUGGGCAGCCCAUUGCAAUGCCCAAUCACUCUUUCUGUGAAGAAUUUCUUUCUAAUGCCCAGCCUAAACUUCCCCUGGCACAGCUUAAGACUGGGUCUUCUUGUCCUGGCACUGGUUACCUGGGAGAAGAGAUCAAUCCCCACCUGGCUACACCCUCCUUUCAGGGAGUUGAGAGUGGUAGGGUUUCCCCUGCACCUGCUCUUCUCCAGGCUGCACAACCCCAGCUCCCUCAGCCUCCUAGGAUUUGUGUUCCAGACCCUUCACCAGCUUUGUUGCUCUUGUCUGGAUGCAUUUCAGCAUCUCAAUGUCCUUCCUAAAUUGGGGAGCCCAGAACAGGACACAGCACUCAGGGUGGGACCUAAUCUUCCUGAGUACAGGGGGAUGAUCUCAACCCUGGUCCUGCUGGCCACACAGGCCAGGAUACCAUUGGCCUUCUUGGCCAUGUAGGCACACCUCCCUACAGGAUAGACCUAUCUGUGGAAGCCUCUGUUCUAGAUAAAAGUUAUUUCAUCUUUUGUUUUAUUUUCUUGGCCUUUGUCUUGAUGUGUAAUAUUUUUCUGCUGUUUUAAGGAUGGAAAAGAUGGGUGUUUUCAAAUUAGUCCUGUCAGUCCAAAUUGAUCCUUACCAUAGAGCAGAAUUUUUUAGAUCUUUCUAGACUUUUAUGAAAACCCGUACAGAUGUUUGCUUUUACUCUGUCCCCUUGCAUUGUGAUAUUCUCUUGCCAUAAGAACAUUCCAUUUAAGCCCUACUGUUGUAGCUUCCAGGUAGGCUCCAAUCUAUUUUCUUCCUCAGAUUUCUUUGGACAUUGUAUCUAUGUGUACAUAUGUGAGGACUUCUCCCUGAAACAUUCAGUUGCAGAAAAGGGCUUGAAAACCCCAUUAAGCAGAUAAUGUCAUUAGUAAAAAUGGCUACUACAUGAUGUUUUAAAACCUUUUCUCAUUUCACUUCUCUGUGAAAUCUUUUAAAAUGUUCUGAUUAAAAAAACCAAAAACCUAGAACUGUGUAUGUGGCACCACUGAUGACACCUAGACUUUUGUGCUACUUGCAGUGGAUGAUACUAGUGCUGGAUUCUGGGGAUAUCUCUCAUGAUCCAGCAUGUGUGAAAUGGUUUCAGAGUUUGGGGAAGAUGAUGAUGAUGAUUAUUUCUUGAGGUAAUUCCAUGUAGGCUGAGUGGUCCUACAGCCACUUUGCAUGGGACAUCUGACAUGUUUCUGAGUGGGAAUGUCAGUUUUCCAGUCAAGUCAUCACUAGUCAUUCCUCAUCCCAUGGUUCCUUUGGGAACUGAAGAACUCUUUGAGAAGCCUGGAUGACUGGUGAGAUGAAGACAUGGCACAGGUCUAUGCCUUUGGCAAGAGGCUAUAAAGCUUUGUUUGGAUUUGGGCAAGGAGGGGAGAGAUGCCUUAUGAUUGAUUCAGCCUUCUCUGAUAAUGCACACAUCACCAUGCAACCUAGGAGUGUAAAUAAGAAAGACACUGCUUUAAAGACCUUUCUCAAUUACAGAACUCUCAAUUCACAAAAUGGAGCUGGAUAAAUUGCAUUUCUUACCAUUAACAAUAUUAUUCAACUUAUAUUGGAUUUGGGGUUGUACCACCACAGGUUUUAUGUACUUAAUUUUAUUAAGGAAUUUUAUACCUAUUAUAUAGGCAUGUAUUCUUUUCUUGUCUGGCUUGCUAUUUGAUAUUCUAAUGCAGUACAUUCAGUGGCGCUGGACUCUUUCAGAAAUUAUACUGGUAAUUCCUGGUGCCUUAGUAAAAAAGUGGGUACAUAACACCUUGGUGGAAGGUAAAGCAUGUGACUUGUUUCACCCCAGCAUGAUAUGCAUAUUUCUAAAAAGGUGAUUAAGAUGGCUGCCCCAAAAGAUUUUGGGAGUGUACCUCUAUCACUUGGUCAUGAACAUUUGAAUAUGAGCAAUUUUUAUGACUUCUGGUAUGUACAGUUUGAAUAGAUAAGCCCAGUACACUUAGGCCACAACUUUGAAAGAUGGCAAUCAAAUAGCUGGAUAUGUAACUUCUUACACAGAUGCCCUUGAAAGCCUGACAAUAGCUGCUGGUUAGGAAAUGGAGAGGGGAGUAGAGCAUAAAUAAGAGGAUGGCUUUGGUUUUUAAUGGACAAUGAAAAUAUGUAUUGCCUCUACCAGCAAAAGGUUACCUUGCCAGGGAUAGGGAUAUAUGUACCUGCGUGUCUGUGAGUGUGUAUGUGUCUGCGUGUGUUAUUGGAAACAGCCUGUAAAUAUUGUAGCUGUUUAAAAUGGAAAAGGCAGAGAGUUUUUUGCAACAUGUUGCAGCAAAAGGACAGUAUUGACAGUGGAGAAACACUGAGAAAUAAAAGAACCUUUUUUCA